CCUACGGGAGGCAGCAGUGGGGAAUAUUGGACAAUGGGGGCAACCCUGAUCCAGCCAUGCCGCGUGUGUGAAGAAGGCCCUCGGGUUGUAAAGCACUUUCAGUGAGGAAGAACGCCUGGUGGUUAAUACCCAUCAGGAAAGACAUCACUCACAGAAGAAGCACCGGCUAACUCCGUGCCAGCAGCCGCGGUAAUACGGAGGGUGCGAGCGUUAAUCGGAAUUACUGGGCGUAAAGCGCGCGUAGGUGGCUUGAUAAGCCGGUUGUGAAAGCCCCGGGCUCAACCUGGGAACGGCAUCCGGAACUGUCAAGCUAGAGUGCAGGAGAGGAAGGUAGAAUUCCCGGUGUAGCGGUGAAAUGCGUAGAGAUCGGGAGGAAUACCAGUGGCGAAGGCGGCCUUCUGGACUGUCACUGACACUGAGGUGCGAAAGCGUGGGUAGCAAACAGGAUUAGAUACCCUAGUAGUC
RNAcentral lists this ribosomal RNA (465 nucleotides) under Vreelandella stevensii. RNAcentral's name for it is "partial 16S ribosomal RNA". It matches the Rfam family "Bacterial small subunit ribosomal RNA", at positions 338 to 795 of the family's 1533-position model. The record is from RNAcentral. Lineage: Bacteria; Pseudomonadati; Pseudomonadota; Gammaproteobacteria; Oceanospirillales; Halomonadaceae.